This 1353-nucleotide ribosomal RNA is filed under the name uncultured bacterium. RNAcentral's name for it is "bacterial SSU rRNA". It matches the Rfam family "Bacterial small subunit ribosomal RNA", at positions 29 to 1393 of the family's 1533-position model. The record is from RNAcentral.
AUGAACGCUGGCGGCGUGCUUAACACAUGCAAGUCGAACGAUGAAGCCCAGCUUGCUGGGUGGAUUAGUGGCGAACGGGUGAGUAACACGUGAGCAACCUGCCCCUGACUCUGGGAUAAGCGCUGGAAACGGUGUCUAAUACUGGAUAUGUCCCAUCGCCGCAUGGUGUGUGGGUGGAAAGAUUUUUCGGUUGGGGAUGGGCUCGCGGCCUAUCAGCUUGUUGGUGAGGUAAUGGCUUACCAAGGCGUCGACGGGUAGCCGGCCUGAGAGGGUGACCGGCCACACUGGGACUGAGACACGGCCCAGACUCCUACGGGAGGCAGCAGUGGGGAAUAUUGCACAAUGGGCGGAAGCCUGAUGCAGCAACGCCGCGUGAGGGAUGACGGCCUUCGGGUUGUAAACCUCUUUUAGCAGGGAAGAAGCUUUUGUGACGGUACCUGCAGAAAAAGCACCGGCUAACUACGUGCCAGCAGCCGCGGUAAUACGUAGGGUGCAAGCGUUAUCCGGAAUUAUUGGGCGUAAAGAGCUCGUAGGCGGUUUGUCGCGUCUGUCGUGAAAUCCUCAGGCUCAACCUGAGGCUUGCGGUGGGUACGGGCAGACUUGAGUGCGGUAGGGGAGAUUGGAAUUCCUGGUGUAGCGGUGGAAUGCGCAGAUAUCAGGAGGAACACCGAUGGCGAAGGCAGAUCUCUGGGCCGUAACUGACGCUGAGGAGCGAAAGGGUGGGGAGCAAACAGGCUUAGAUACCCUGGUAGUCCACCCCGUAAACGUUGGGAACUAGUUGUGGGUCCUUUCCACGGAUUCCGUGACGCAGCUAACGCAUUAAGUUCCCCGCCUGGGGAGUACGGCCGCAAGGCUAAAACUCAAAGGAAUUGACGGGGACCCGCACAAGCGGCGGAGCAUGCGGAUUAAUUCGAUGCAACGCGAAGAACCUUACCAAGGCUUGACAUAUUCGAGAACACCCUGGAAACAGGGGACUCUUUGGACACUCGUUUACAGGUGGUGCAUGGUUGUCGUCAGCUCGUGUCGUGAGAUGUUGGGUUAAGUCCCGCAACGAGCGCAACCCUCGUUCUAUGUUGCCAGCACGUUAUGGUGGGAACUCAUGGGAUACUGCCGGGGUCAACUCGGAGGAAGGUGGGGAUGACGUCAAAUCAUCAUGCCCCUUAUGUCUUGGGCUUCACGCAUGCUACAAUGGCCGGUACAAUGGGCUGCGAUACCGUGAGGUGGAGCGAAUCCCAAAAAGCCGGUCCCAGUUCGGAUUGUAGUCUGCAACUCGACUACAUGAAGUCGGAGUCGCUAGUAAUCGCAGAUCAGCAACGCUGCGGUGAAUACGUUCCCGGGUCUUGCACUCACCGC